GUUAAUGUUCUUACCAUCCCACGAUUAGUUGCACGCAGAGCUACUGCAUCUCUGUCUCUCCAACAACGCCAGCGCAAGCAGUUUCCACGAGAAAUGAGUUGAG
This 103-nucleotide non-coding RNA is filed under the name Ditylum brightwellii. Lineage: Eukaryota; Bacillariophyta; Thalassiosirophyceae; Lithodesmiales; Lithodesmiaceae. The record is from RNAcentral.